Molecule: RNA transcript, 3571 nt
Organism: Brassica oleracea var. oleracea
Lineage: Eukaryota; Viridiplantae; Streptophyta; Magnoliopsida; Brassicales; Brassicaceae
Gene name: putative disease resistance protein At4g10780
Exons: 2
Source: RefSeq, a predicted model, not a curated record
UAGGAUCAUACUCGCAAGAAAAGCGUGAGCCGCCGUAAAGAAAAAAAGAGCGAUCUUGAAGAAGAAACAUCGAGCACUGGUGUUCGGCCUUUCUGGUCGCCGCUGACUGCUUCUCUUCUCUCUUCUCCUUUUAUUUUUGCUCUCCUCCUCCUCUUAGUUGAUGGCGUCAAUAUGUAUGGUGCCUCUGGUUGGGGUCUGUUCGGCGUUGGAUUCUAGAUCUGCUCCGGGAGAGCUAGAUUCGGCGGUCUGGGGCUCCUUGUUGGAGCAUCGACGAGACGUCUUCGGUUUGAAGGGUAAGGGAGUCGGCUUUUAAGAUGUAUAUGUGUCAGAUCUCGUUUUUCUCUUUGUAGAUCUGGGUUCUGUUUGUUUCGAUGUCGGCGUGGAUGAUUUGGAAACAUGCUCUAUCCUCUGUUUCUUCUCUGUGACAAGCAGCAUUGGUCUUUGUGGAGGGGUUUGUGAGCUUUAGAUGCGGUUGGGGGUUGGCGACUUACCUAGGCUUGGGAGUGUCUCCCCUUUCUAUGGAGUUAUCUCUGGUGGUUGUUCAUCUUUAUUGGUCAGAGCCUUGUUGUGAGCUCAAUUCUAGUUUUGUGAGGAUAGGAUGGAAAUACCUGUGUUUUGGAGUUAAUGCUUCUUUGCUGGUCGAUUUCUGCCGUUCUAUUAGUAAUAGUCCUGGUGUUGGAGUGGUUUUCAUCCAGUUACCAGCUGUGUGAAUAAGACGUGUGUUCGGGAAGCUUUUAUAGGCUUCGCCGUGGGGUGUUGGUGCGUAUGAAGCGCUUAGAGAACCUACUCAAAGUCCAAUGGCAAGUCUUAGUUGGGAUUGAAGGAUGUUUAUAGCGACGGUUAAGGAUUCAAACCUCUCUCGACCCAGUUUAUGUUUUGGUGAUGUUCGUGUGCUUCCAGGUUAUCUCGCUGCUCUUCUUAUCUUGAGGUUAUUGUUGAUGAGUUCUCGCUAGGUAACCUCGUCUUUGGGUACAAGGUUGAAGCCUCCUCUCCCGUUGUUCUGUUCUAUUAUCCUGCAUCUCGACAUCUUUCUUUUUCUUUGUUGUUGUUAGCUUUGGGGGUUUGUGUUUUGUUCAUCUGUUGGCUUUGGGAGGUAUAUAUUACCUCGCCGGCUCUUGGCUUCAGACAAUGUCUUUAUUGUAUGUGUGUAACCGAAUGUUUGAUCUAAUCUUAAUCUACCAUAUGACAAAAAAAAAAAACGGUGUGUGCAGGUGAAACCAUCUUCAAGUUUCUUGUUUUGGAACUCUCUUUCUCACAUUAUAUCAUUUUUUCGGUUCGCUCUUUCUCGUCUGAUCAAAAAUGGGAGGUUUUUUCUCUGUUACCUUGUCUGGUGAUCAAGUACUGAAAGAUGUUUCCCACCUUUCAUGCUUCAAAGCGAGUUACAUUAAUAGUCUUGAGGAGAAUCUCGCAGCUAUGCAGAGUGACAGGGAAGAGCUCAAGGCAAGACAAACUGAUGUGUUAAGAAGGGUCGAGAGGGAAGAGGAAGCCAAAAGUAUGCAACGGCUUGCAGAAGCCAACGUAUGGCUUAAAAAUGUUGAUAACGUCAGUAGAAAAGUCAGUUAUCUGCUUAGCAAUAGAACUACUGAACUUCAAAGGUUAUGUUCAAAGAAGUCAAGAUCAAACUACGGUUAUGGUUAUGGGAAAAGGGUGUCUUUAGUGUUGAAAAAGGUUAAUGACCUCAACUCUAAAAGAGUUUUUGAAGUUGUGGCUGAGCCGGCUACUGAAACGUCUACAAAGGAGAAGAGGCUCUCCAGAUCCAGACUGGAUAUUGUUGGCCAGGAAACAAUUCUCAAGAGGACUUUGAGCCUCCUCGUGAGUGGUGAAACCGGGAGUAUAUGUCUGUACGGAGUUGGUGGCGUAGGCAAAUCAACUAUUCUCCGAGAGAUCAGCAACAAGAUCACUGCCAGAUUUGAGUUUGUGAUUUGGGUUGUUGUGUCUCAACAUCUGCAUGUCAAGAAGAUUCAAGAAGAAAUUGGUAAGAAGCUAGGCUUUCAUGGGGAGGAGUGGAACCAAAAAGAGGAAAGCCAGAAGGCCAAUGAUAUACACAACUUCAUGAAGGACAGGAGAUUUGCGUUGUUACUGGAUGAUGUGUGGACGAAAGUGGACUUAACGAAGGUAGGAGUCCCAUCACCAACAAACGAAAACAAAAGCAAAAUAGCAUUCACCACCCGCUCUCGAGAGGUCUGUGUGCAGAUGGGGGUUGCUGACCCGAUUUAAGUCCAGUGCCUUGCUGAGAAUGGUGCUUGGGACUUGUUUCAGAUGAAAGUUGGAGGACACGCAAGCUGCUCGAAAAUUCAGGAGACGGCAAGAGAAGUUUAUGGAAGAUGUCAUGGUCUACCACUGGCGCUGAAUGUUCUUGGCGAGACCCAUGUCUUGCAAGAAGAAGGUGCGAGAAUGGAAUGAUGCACUGCACGUCCUGAAUUCUUCACCUCGCAUAGAGUUUGCAGAAAAGGAAGAUGAAAUUCUCUUGAUUCUCAAGUAUAGCUAUGACAGUUUGAAAGAUGGAAAGUUGAAGUCAUGCUUCCAGUACUGUGCUCUAUUCCCUGCAGGUUCUAUGUUGAGUAAAGAUAGUUUGAUAGAGUAUUGGGAAGUCGAAAGUCGUUAUAUAGCCAAGAAUCGAGGUUAUGAAAAUAUCGAUACACUUGUUCUUGCUGGUUUACUGAUGGAGAGUGAUGACAGUACCAAGUUUGUUCAAAUGCACGACGUGGUUCGUAAAAUGGCUUUGUGGGUGGCUUCUGAUCUUGGGAAGAACAGAGAAAGAUGGGUUGUGGAAGCCGGUGUUGGGUUACGUGAUAUGGUACCUGUUCAAGACUGGACCGGAGUGAGAAAGAUGUCGCUGAUGAAUAAUGAGAUUGAAGAGAUAUCUGGCGGUCACGAUUGUCAUCAACUUACGACUCUCUUUCUCCAACAAAACAGCAACUUGGUGCGUAUCUCUGGUGAGUUCUUUAGUAUAUGCCAAUGCUAGUUGUUUUGAAUAUGUCUUUCACUGAGCUAGAGGAAUUGCAGGAACAGAUAUCACGUUUGUUCGCUUUGCGAUAUCUCAACUUGUCACGGACAAAGAUAGAGCGACUGCCAGAUGGUUUAGGAAAGUUGAAACGUCUAGAACAUCUCAACUUGGAAACGACCAAGAGACUCAAGAGCAUUUAUGGGUUAUCAAAUGCAUCAAGUCUGGGGGUAUUGGCACUACUAGAUUCAAACGUUUCGCUCGAUGCUAGCACGAUAGAGGAGCUGCAACGCUUCGAACGACUAGAAAGGUUAAACAUAGACAUAUCCUCCAGUUCAGCUUUGAAGCAAUUGCUUAGCGCUCCUGAGUUGGCAUAUUGGAUUGAAGAGGUGUGUAUUAGAGAUCUUCAGAGUUACGAAGCAUGUCUGGUUUUGCCAAAAACAAUGAUGCAACUCCGUAAGCUCAUCAUAAAGAGGUGUGGUGUGUUGGAGAUAGAUAUUGGGAGAGCAUCAUACGACACGUUUCUGAUACAUCCAAAACUAGGGAGCCUCUCAAGUGUGACUAUAACUUGUUAAUCUUUUACCAACCGCUUGUGUUACACAACGACCACUGUGUGUUACACACGAG